GGGGAAUAUUGGACAAUGGGCGAAAGCCUGAUCCAGCCAUGCCGCGUGUGUGAAGAAGGCCUUUUGGUUGUAAAGCACUUUAAGCGAGGAGGAGGCUACCGAGAUUAAUACUCUUGGAUAGUGGACGUUACUCGCAGAAUAAGCACCGGCUAACUCUGUGCCAGCAGCCGCGGUAAUACAGAGGGUGCGAGCGUUAAUCGGAUUUACUGGGCGUAAAGCGUGCGUAGGCGGCUUUUUAAGUCGGAUGUGAAAUCCCUGAGCUUAACUUAGGAAUUGCAUUCGAUACUGGGAAGCUAGAGUAUGGGAGAGGAUGGUAGAAUUCCAGGUGUAGCGGUGAAAUGCGUAGAGAUCUGGAGGAAUACCGAUGGCGAAGGCAGCCAUCUGGCCUAAUACUGACGCUGAGGUACGAAAGCAUGGGGAGCAAAC
This 426-nucleotide ribosomal RNA is filed under the name uncultured bacterium. RNAcentral's name for it is "bacterial SSU rRNA". It matches the Rfam family "Bacterial small subunit ribosomal RNA", at positions 356 to 773 of the family's 1533-position model. The record is from RNAcentral.